Molecule: long non-coding RNA, 318 nt
Filed under: Bos taurus (domestic cattle)
Lineage: Eukaryota; Metazoa; Chordata; Mammalia; Artiodactyla; Bovidae
Description: long non-coding RNA NONBTAT022347
Source: RNAcentral
CUAGCUGUUCCUUCUUAUUAAAGAGGUAGCUCCUAAUCAUCAAAGAGGAGCUUCAACCAUGCAACUCUCUGUCUCCCAUCGAAAAACAUGGUGGUCUGAGAGUGGCCACCCCCAGAAGAUUUCACAUCUAUUGAGCUCUAAUCCAGUGUAGGUCUCAACCCAAACUGUUCCCAGGAUUGGAUACCUAUGGUGUGUUCGUUGUUUCCUUCCUUCAUACAUACAUAGAUGCCACAGUGAAUGCUAUUAUAGGCAUUAAAAUUGACAUAAGAACACCUCCUCAAAAAACUAAAAUGAGUUUAAUUGUCUAAAUAAUACCCC